Molecule: ribosomal RNA, 497 nt
Filed under: uncultured bacterium
Lineage: Bacteria
Description: partial 16S ribosomal RNA
Rfam family: Bacterial small subunit ribosomal RNA
Source: RNAcentral
GAUGAACGCUGGCGGCGUGCCUAAUACAUGCAAGUCGAGCGAACGGACGAGAAGCUUGCUUCUCUGAUGUUAGCGGCGGACGGGUGAGUAACACGUGGAUAACCUACCUAUAAGACUGGGAUAACUUCGGGAAACCGUAGCUAAUACCGGAUAAUAUUUUGAACCGCAUGGUUCAAAAGUGAAAGACGGUCUUGCUGUCACUUAUAGAUGGAUCCGCGCUUCAUUAGCUAGUUGGUAAGGUAACGGCUUACCAAGGCAACGAUGCAUAGCCGACCUGAGAGGGUGAUCGGCCACACUGGAACUGAGACACGGUCCAGACUCCUACGGGAGGCAGCAGUAGGGAAUCUUCCGCAAUGGGCGAAAGCCUGACGGAGCAACGCCGCGUGAGUGAUGAAGGUCUUCGGAUCGUAAAACUCUGUUAUUAGGGAAGAACAUAUGUGUAAGUAACUGUGCACAUCUUGACGGUACCUAAUCAGAAAGCCACGGCUAACUACGUG